CUAAGGCCGGAGCUGUAGCUAUCAGAACCGUCACCAGUGCCUAGUCCUUGUAUUGAAGCAACGGCAAGUACGCCGACAAGUCGUACGAGCACGACAUCAUCAAGCUUUGCCGGUGCGGCGAGAAUUUGACUUUUUUCACCGGGUAGCUGUGGCCGUUGAGCACCGAAAUCGGAGCACUGAUGGAUCUGACGUCCCAAACCUUGAUCGGUUUGUCGACGAAGGCGGUGGCGAUGACGCAGUCGUCGUACUUGUUCAAAUCGCAAGAGAGGAUCUCGAACUCGUGCACCGGGAUGAUGAUGGUGGACCUAGGCUCACGCACGUCCGAGACUCGUGCGGUACAGUCGCCGGAGACGGAGUAGGCGCAGUAGGAGUGCUCCUUGAAGAUGCGGACGGAGGCGGGGCAGAGACAGAGAGAUAGAUUGGUUAGGGUCGAAAGUGUUCAGACGUGAUUAGAUAACG
This 459-nucleotide long non-coding RNA is filed under the name Rosa chinensis. Its description in RNAcentral is "sRNA RchiOBHm_Chr1g0356081". The record is from RNAcentral. Lineage: Eukaryota; Viridiplantae; Streptophyta; Magnoliopsida; Rosales; Rosaceae.